UCAAACUUGGUCAUUUAGAGGAAGUAAAAGUCGUAACAAGGUUUCCGUAGGUGAACCUGCGGAAGGAUCAUUAUCGAAUUGUUAAAACUUGGCUGUCGCUGGCUCUCUUCUUCUUGAGAUGGCAUGUGCACGCCUUGUUCAAACUUUUCAUUCUAACCUCCUGUGCACUUUUGUGAGUUGUGAAUUAAUAAACUUUGUCAAAGUAACAUUUGGUUUUUGGGGAUUGCAGACUGCUUUCUCCUACUAUUCAUCCACAAUUCACGUCAUUUACUACAAACCAUUAAAUAUAAACCUAGAAUGCUUCACAAGUUGGGACUUUAGUGUUCCUUCUUAAAACAAUACAACUUUCAACAACGGAUCUCUUGGCUCUCGCAUCGAUGAAGAACGCAGC
RNAcentral lists this unclassified non-coding RNA (391 nucleotides) under uncultured fungus. Its description in RNAcentral is "partial contains small subunit ribosomal RNA, internal transcribed spacer 1, and 5.8S ribosomal RNA". The stretch from base 1 to 73 matches the Rfam family "Eukaryotic small subunit ribosomal RNA", at positions 1759 to 1831 of the family's 1831-position model. Lineage: Eukaryota; Fungi. The record is from RNAcentral.